This is a non-coding RNA of Lynx canadensis (Canada lynx), 599 nucleotides long. Lineage: Eukaryota; Metazoa; Chordata; Mammalia; Carnivora; Felidae. The record is from the annotation of a RefSeq genome assembly.
UGGCUGAAACACAGAACGGAUAUUUUAACAUCACGGUGGUAUCUAUAGCGUUACACGAAGCUCAGAGGAGUUUCUAGAAGCAAAAACCCUUUUAGGAAAUAAUUCUUUGCUGAACGACUUGUGAUAAGGAUGCUCCUCAAAGGUUCAUUAAUAUUCUUGUGGAUGCAGCUGACAUGGGUGAAUGGCCAGCAGGUGAAUCAGAGUCCUCAGUCUGUGUCUGUUCGGGAAGGAGAGGAUGUCUCCAUGAACUGCAAUUCCUCAAGUACAAUCAACACCUUACUAUGGUUCAAGCAGGAUCCUGGGGAAGGCCUUGUCCUACUGAUAGCCUCAUAUAAGGCUGGUGAAGUGACCAGAAGUGGAAAACUGACUGCUCAGUUGGGCGCAACGAGAAUGGACAGCUUCUUGAACAUCUCAGCCUCUGAGACUAAACAUGCAGGCACCUACUUCUGCAGUGUGCAGCACUGUGCUCCCCGAGCACCUGCAACCUGCACAUAAACUUGCAGCUGGAACCCUAGUCACUAUGCUGCCUCGAGCUGCUGCUCCUCUUGGCAUGAAAUAUGAUCAUACACACAACCUGUGUGCCCUGCUCUCCCAUUACU